Molecule: long non-coding RNA, 625 nt
Filed under: Durio zibethinus
Lineage: Eukaryota; Viridiplantae; Streptophyta; Magnoliopsida; Malvales; Malvaceae
Description: long non-coding RNA (DZIB_LNC001808)
Source: RNAcentral
UUCUUUCCAAGGUCUUACAACCACCGUCAACGUUCCAAAGUCAGCGAUGGAUCCACCUCCACCAUCAACUGCACCACUGCUAGCUCCGAUGCCUCCGGAUCAAGGGUUUUUGGAAUCAUGGUAAGCUGUUUCCCCUAGUAUUGCAUGUUACUUCUGCACGAAGAAACAAACAUGGUAAAAUUUGACGUAUUCUUUCCUCAUUUUAUUGCAGUUUGUGGUUUCUGUGCUGCUGUGGUAUAUUUAGAAGUUGCUUCCCCCCACUCUUUGAGCCCGGGCCACCUCCUCCUUAGAGAUGCAAUUGUUCAAGGAUUAGAAAAAGAACAGAUCGAAGUUUCCCCAUCUGUUUUGCCUAUAUUUUUAGCAAGUUUGACGUGACUUUUAAGCGUCCUUGAUUUCUUUUUUUUUUUCUUUUUAAUUGUGCAUUUUUAAGGAUUGGAACUUGUUGGAAAUGAUUCUUCUUGUUUUCAUUCUUCAUUCUUAUGUAUCUGCUGAUGUUAAAGUUGCAAAAUGAAAGAAUUUUAGCUUCUCAUUCUUAUGCCUUGAAUAAUAAUGGAGUUGGAAACUUGAACAAUAGACUUUGAUUCAAGCAUAUCAACUAAGAAAAACCUAGUUGCCAUGUUUCUAC